Molecule: long non-coding RNA, 535 nt
Organism: Triticum dicoccoides
Lineage: Eukaryota; Viridiplantae; Streptophyta; Magnoliopsida; Poales; Poaceae
Exons: 2
Source: RefSeq, a predicted model, not a curated record
CUUGUUCCUAGCAUUUUCAAACUUCAUCAGAAGAUGAUGGACAAAUACACGAUUCACAUCUACGCUCUAGGCUUGCUACUAUCUCUCCAUCUCCUAUGCUGCACGCCUACUGUGCAAUGUCGGAUCAUGGGCGAAGAAGACGUGGAUGAGAAGAUCAAUUUACCGUAUGGGCUUUGUGUCAACAAUAGACCAUGCAAAGCUGGAUGGGUCUGGUUGUGUUGUCUCCUCAAUCAAGAGUGCUAUCCGUCCAUGGAUGCGUGCAAGAAAGAUUGUCUGAAACCCUCUGCUGCUGACAUGGUGUCCAUGAAAAUGACCCGCUCUCCUUUACCCGCCUCCUCUCCCACGUCAUCAUUAGGUUCAAUUUGAAUUACCUAUAUUUUUCCCGGGACCUAAUGGAUAUUGUGUGAAAAAAUAAUUUGGAAUAGAAGUAUCUCAUACAUUAGUUGUUGCAAUUUGAUUUGACAUGUUGCAUCAAUCUUUAAGUUUUGUUACCAAUUAUUGCCGAUAACUCAGUUUUUCAAACAUUGAUGCCCAA